This 74-nucleotide transfer RNA is filed under the name Selaginella moellendorffii. RNAcentral describes it as "tRNA tRNA-Val". Lineage: Eukaryota; Viridiplantae; Streptophyta; Lycopodiopsida; Selaginellales; Selaginellaceae. The record is from RNAcentral.
GUCUGGAUGGUGUAGUUGGUCAUCACGCUAGUCUCACACACUAGAGGUCCCCAGUUCGAACCUGGGUUCAGACA